UUGUGUUUGGUUAGGUAUCACGAUCACUAGUGAUUGCAAAUCCUUUCAACGAAAUGACGAAUUGUAUUGGCUCUGUACAUAAGAACCAUAACCGGGUUUUAGCAAAAACAAAAGGAUCAAAUGCUCUAGUGACCCACAUGGUUUUGAAAAAUUCUCUCGUGACCCAACCAUAAUUCCUAUUAAUAUUACAUUAAAAUUUAAAUACAAAAGAGGUACAAAUAACAAAAAAACCAAAAGACAUCAACUUAUUUACGACCCGCGCCAUUACUAUCCUACCCGACUCUUAACCCGACCCAACCCCGACUGAAAACCUAACCAAAUAGACAAAGCCUCCAUCUACGAAAGACAACUCCCCUAUUUUCUCCACACCUUCACGAUCAGAACUCUGUCUCUAUUUCAAUCGGACUUCUCGAUUUAUCUCUCUGUCACGAAGAUGCCACCUACAAUCAGAAGAACUAAUAACAAGAAGGAAUCUCCACCGCCGAAGAAGAACAUCGAACCAGCAAAGAAGAAGUGAGAUAGGCCAUCUCUGGUAGAAGAACACGGAGGAGACGAUGGUGGUUUGACAUCUCAACCCAGUAAGCGGCUGUGGCGGAACCAUAACCCUAAAAGUCUGCGACGCAAUCCGGGUGCUUCUCCUAAUCCGGCGGACCCUUCUCCGGCGGACCCUACUCCGGCUGCUUCUCCUACUCAGUCCGACAGUGAGUCAACACAGUCAGAAGAGGCGGCGGGGUCACAAGUACCUCCAAUGGCGAACACACAAGACCCUCCGGUUACACCUCUUUCCAGGUCUUCCACUAGGAGGGGGACACCUUCUUCGGAACGAAGAAACUAGGUCGAAUCACGGGGACGCUCGCACAUCUCAAGAACAUAAUGCUACACAUAUGGCUGGAGGAGCAAUCAAACCACACAUGUUUUACUUCCAACUGGUCGAGUACGGGAAGCCCUAUAAGCUCUCCUCAAGGUGUCAUCAACAUCAUUUCAUUAAGUUGAUUAAAGAUUCUGAUGCAUCUGAAAAGAAGUGGUUUCACGAGCUCCCAUAGUUCAACACAAUGUUCUAAAAAUCGUUAGGCGGUAACUAGGCGCUUUAUAGAGAACUAGCGACUAGGCGGAUUAUUCGGGGCUUAGGCGUUAACAAAUUAUUGAUUUGUUUUAUAUAUUUUAUACAUUUAUGUGACAUAUUUUAAUUUUUAAGUUUAAUUAUAAAAUAUACAAACAUAAGAAAGUAGACAAAUUUAUAGAUUUGUAAUAAUAUUAUUGUUUAAUUUAACAUAUAUAGACAAUUUAUAUCGAUUUUAACCGAUUUAAAACAGUUUAAACCAAUUUAAUCAUAUAAAUCAAAAAUUGGAUUUGAAAAAAAUCGUUUCGGAUAGGACCGAGUUGCCGCCUAGGCGGGGGCCUAGGCGCCGCCUAGAGCGAUUUUUAAAACCUUGGUUCAACAUCUGAAAAGAAGGCGAGAAUGAGCUCGAGAAUGAUGGCGAGAAUGAUCCUGAGCAGAUGGAAAAGGUUGACACUAAUAAAAAGGCCACAAAGGAGGGUAAGAACGAGCUUGAAGUUAUGGCAGCAAAUGCCGAGAAGGUUAAGAAGGAAGCUACAGAGGAAGUGAAUAAAGAUGUUGAAGAUUCACCGGAGGAUGGAGAGGCCUUGACAAGGCCGAAGAGGUUGGCAAAGCCUAACUAGUAUAACCAGGUUAGGUAUGGCCAAAUUACUCUGCCUAGUACAACUGGUACAACUUGACAAAGGAAGGUACAACCAUCACGUUUAGAAUGUGCAGUACAUUUAAAACAUGAUAAACAAACUAAAACAUGAUAAACGAAAUAACAUGUAGUUGUACGAGUAUUCUAGUUGUACAAUCGUAUAUAGAGUUGUACCAGAUUUUGGGUUGUACAACUUUGUACAUAGUUGUAUUUUGGUUGAAAAUUUGAAAAUUUUAGUUGUGCCACAUAUUAAAUAUAUAUACUUCAGUUGUACAGCUCUCAUUUACUUAAAUACAUAUGCGCACAUGCAAUUGAAUCAUUAAUUUUCUUAAAAUAUAUUUGGUGUAUGUUUUUAAAAAAAUAUAGUGAACAAACUAGUAAACAAACCCUUAAAGUAUAAGCUAGAUCUUGGAAACUUAUACCAUUGUGUAAUAAUUGCAAAAACAAUUCGGUAAAAUUUCAAAUAAAUAGGAUGGACCAUUCCAAAGACCUCCCAACUUGUCUAGUCUAUUGUUAUUUUCCUAUGAAAAGCCAUAUAAAACUAAUAAAACUGAAACAUGCAGUAGUAUUACAACAAUAAUAGUACAACUGGUUCGACUACAUUAGUAGUAUUAUUAAUAUUUUACUGUGGCAAUGAUUUUAUAUAUUAUUUUCUAUAGGCAUUACACACAAUUGGAAAAUAUUUUAAUGUUAUCAAAAGAAAUAUAUUUACUUGAAGAAAAUGAAAGCCUAAAAGACACAAAAUUAAAAGAAAAGUAGAUUAAUACGAUCAGUAUAAAUAGUACAACUAGUAUAACUACGAUAACAAAUGUAUGAUUGGUUUAACCGGUAUAACUACGUUCUUUUAAUAUAUAUACGUAGUUGUACCAAAUUUUGGGUUGAACAAAUUUGUAUAUAAUUGUAUUUUGGCAGUGAAAUUGAAAAAGUUAGUUGUACCACAUAAAAAGUAAAUAUACCCUAGUUGUACUACUACUAUAUGUUUACCUAUCUGAUAUCACAUAUAAUCGAAUCGUUAAUUUUGUUAAAAUACAUUCGUUGUAUGUUUUUCAGAAAAUAUAGUGGACAAACAAGUAAACAAACCUUUAACGUAUAAGGUGAAAAAUGGAAACUUAUGAAAUAAUGUAAUAAUUGUCAAAAAAUAUUAAAAAAUUAAAAUAGUUAGGAUAUACCAUUAUAAACACACCAAUUUGGUCAGUUUAUUGUUGUUUUUUCAUAUGGAAAAUCAAAUAAAAAUUUAAAAUUUCUAUAAUGAAAAAGUUAAACCAGUAUUACUAGUAUUACAUGUCUUGUAUAUACUAUGAAGUUGUACUAAUUAAACCAGUAUAUGUUUAGUUAUAUGAAUUGUACCAGUUUACCAUCUUCUAUAACCCACUCCUUAGUAAUUUCAUGAUUUUUUUAUUAUGCAGUUAGUUUUAGCUUAUUUUAAUCAUUUUAAAUUGUAUUUAGGUGUAUAUAUAUUGUAUUUAUUUGUCCAUUUGUAGCUAACAUGGUUUAAAGUGCAUAAUUGAAAAGUUCAAUCUGAAAACAGAAAAAAAUCUUGUCAAUUAGAAAGUUUGGGACUAAAAUGAAGAGAAAUAAAACAUUUGAGGACCAAAACACAAAUAAUGAAAAGUUGGUUUCCCCCACCAGAUUCGAUUGAAUCGCUCAUCCAUGGUUGAUUGAGAUCUGCUCAAUCCAUCGCCAUCUAUGAUUGACUGAAUUCAAAGCUUGGCGGAGUCGGCGGUGAGGGUCUAAGGUCACGGCGAUGAUGGCGACUUAGUGGAGUUGGUGGAACUUGCUUACGUGUUAUAGAACACAACGUUGGUGGAGGUUGGAGCAAUAGACCAUCAUGCAAUUGAAGUUUGAAAAGAAGAAGAUGGUCGCGACUCACAGAGAACACUGGAGACACUGCAUGCUGCCGUCAAAGUCGAUGACCGGAGACGUCGCGUGCUGCCGGAGAAGAUAUGAACAGAAGUCGGCGAAGUUGAAAGGAACCAAUUUCUUUUUUUUCUUUUAAUUUUGUUUUAAUUAAUUGUUGGAAAGAUAAAAAAAAUAAAACAAAAAGAAUAAAUUCAUUAAGGGUAAAUUAGAUAUUUCA
Molecule: long non-coding RNA, 3774 nt
Organism: Brassica napus (rape)
Lineage: Eukaryota; Viridiplantae; Streptophyta; Magnoliopsida; Brassicales; Brassicaceae
Exons: 2
Source: RefSeq, a predicted model, not a curated record